GAUGAACGCUGGCGGUAUGCCUAAUACAUGCAAGUCGAACGGCCACACAAUAAGAUCUUGCUCUUGCGGGUGGCGACUGACGGACGGGUGAGAAAUGCAUCAGCUACUUCUUUGUCUUGGGUGAUUUCGGGAGACCACAUCCACUACUACCUAAUACAAUCUACCGGUGGAUGCAAUGGUGCUUCGCACUUUUCCCGUUUCAUAUAGCCGGUGUCGCGUUAGCUAGUUGGGGUGGUAAAGGCCCACCAAGACGACGAUGCGUAGCGGGUCUGAGAGGAUGAUCGGCCACACUGGAACUGAGACACGGUCCAGACUCCUACGGGAGGCAGCAGUGGGGAAUAUUGCACAAUGGGCGAAAGCCUGAUCCAGCCAUACCGCGUGGGUGAAGAAGGCCUUCGGGUUGUAAAGCUCUUUUGUUGGGGAAGAAAAGCAGCAGGAUAAUAUACCGACGUUUUGACGGUACCUAAAGAGUAAGCAACGGCUAACUUCGUG
Molecule: ribosomal RNA, 492 nt
Filed under: uncultured bacterium
Lineage: Bacteria
Description: partial 16S ribosomal RNA
Rfam family: Bacterial small subunit ribosomal RNA
Source: RNAcentral